AGAGUUUGAUCCUGGCUCAGGAUGAACGCUAGCUACAGGCUUAACACAUGCAAGUCGAGGGGAAACGAUAUUGGAAGCUUGCUUCCGAUAGGCGUCGACCGGCGCACGGGUGAGUAACGCGUAUCCAACCUGCCCACCACUUGGGGAUAACCUUGCGAAAGUAAGACUAAUACCCAAUGAUAUCUCUAGAAGACAUCUGAAAGAGAUUAAAGAUUUAUCGGUGUUGGAUGGGGAUGCGUCUGAUUAGCUUGUUGGCGGGGUAACGGCCCACCAAGGCAACGAUCAGUAGGGGUUCUGAGAGGAAGGUCCCCCACAUUGGAACUGAGACACGGUCCAAACUCCUACGGGAGGCAGCAGUGAGGAAUAUUGGUCAAUGGACGAGAGUCUGAACCAGCCAAGUAGCGUGCAGGAAGACGGCCCUAUGGGUUGUAAACUGCUUUUAUAAGGGAAUAAAGUGAGAGUCGUGACUCUUUUUGCAUGUACCUUAUGAAUAAGGACCGGCUAAUUCCGUGCCAGCAGCCGCGGUAAUACGGAAGGUCCGGGCGUUAUCCGGAUUUAUUGGGUUUAAAGGGAGCGUAGGCCGGAGAUUAAGCGUGUUGUGAAAUGUAGACGCUCAACGUCUGCACUGCAGCGCGAACUGGUCUCCUUAGUACGCACAAAGUGGGCGGAAUUCGUGGUGUAGCGGUGAAAUGCUUAGAUAUCACGAAGAACUCCGAUUGCGAAGGCAGCUCACUGGAGCGCAACUGACGCUGAAGCUCGAAAGUGCGGGUAUCGAACAGGAUUAGAUACCCUGGUAGUCCGCACGGUAAACGAUGGAUGCCCGCUGUUGGUCUGAAUAGGUCAGCGGCCAAGCGAAAGCAUUAAGCAUCCCACCUGGGGAGUACGCCGGCAACGGUGAAACUCAAAGGAAUUGACGGGGGCCCGCACAAGCGGAGGAACAUGUGGUUUAAUUCGAUGAUACGCGAGGAACCUUACCCGGGCUUGAAUUGCAGAGGAAGGAUUUGGAGACAAUGACGCCCUUCGGGGCCUCUGUGAAGGUGCUGCAUGGUUGUCGUCAGCUCGUGCCGUGAGGUGUCGGCUUAAGUGCCAUAACGAGCGCAACCCCUCUCCUUAGUUGCCAUCAGGUUAAGCUGGGCACUCUGGGGACACUGCCACCGUAAGGUGUGAGGAAGGUGGGGAUGACGUCAAAUCAGCACGGCCGGGCUACACAC
Molecule: ribosomal RNA, 1211 nt
Filed under: metagenome
Description: bacterial SSU rRNA
Rfam family: Bacterial small subunit ribosomal RNA
Source: RNAcentral